CUUUUUGGGAGUAUUUGAAUAAAAUUUUGCAUUUAAAAAAAAAUACAUUUGAAAUGGAUCUGGUUUUACUCUCUUUUUUUCCAUACUUUCUCUAAUUUAUGCAUUGAUUUUUAUUAAACAAUAGUAUAUAAGACUUUCAAUUACAAGGUCUUGAAGUACAGUUCACCUAUCCCCUAAGACAGGGAUAGGUGAGCCAUAUUUUUCCAAGUGAUGCAAAUAUUUAUAGCAGAAUGGAUAUCAAUAUUUUUUUCCCAUCCAAUAAAUGACAUUAUUUUUCAAUCUGUAAAUUAUUUAGUGGGAAGAUUUUACAGGCAAAAAGUAGGUGUGUCUAUUUGCAGCCCCUUAGCAGGGACAUUAGCUGAAAUUCUGCUUAGAGAAAUUGAAAAGAAUGUAAUAAAAGUAUUAGAACCAGCUAUAGCAGAAUAUAUAAGGUACAUUGAUGAUAUCCUAGUUGUAGUGAAUUAUUGUUGUUGAGCAGUUUCUUGGUGACUAUUGCUUGGAAGUUGUUGUGCCAUUGGGCUUACUGAGUUGGAGUCACUUUUUCUUUGUGUAGGAAAAUCAGGUUGUUUUGUACCAGUGUGCGAAAUUUGAAUAAAAUAUUGUUUUAGUAUUGAUAUAAAGUGUUCCAGAGUGAAUUACA
This 640-nucleotide long non-coding RNA is filed under the name Androctonus crassicauda. Lineage: Eukaryota; Metazoa; Arthropoda; Arachnida; Scorpiones; Buthidae. The record is from RNAcentral.